GACUUCGGUCCUAGUGGCGAACGGUCGCGUAACACGUAAGCAACCUGCCCUGAAGUGGGGGACAACAUCCCGAAAGGGGUGCUAAUACCGCAUGUGGUCACGAGUCGGCAUCGACUUGUGUCUAAAGAUUUAUCGCUUCAGGAUGGGCUUGCGGCCUAUCAGGUAGUUGGUGGGGUAAUGGCCUACCAAGCCGACGACGGGUAGCUGGUCUGAGAGGACGAUCAGCCGGAUUGGGACUGAGAUACGGCCCAGACUCCUACGGGGGGCAGCAAUUAGGAAUCUUGCGCAAUGGGGGAAACCCUGACGCAGCGACGUCGCGUGAAGGAUGAAGGCCCUCGGGUCGUAAACUUCUUUUGAGUGGGAAGAAAUUUGACGGUACCACUCGAAUAAGCCCCGGCUAACUACGUGCCAGCAGCCGCGGUAAUACGUAGGGGGCGAGCGUUGUCCGAAGUUACUGGGCGUAAAGCGCGCGUAGGCGGUUAUUUAAGUCUGGGGUGAAAG
RNAcentral lists this ribosomal RNA (501 nucleotides) under uncultured bacterium. RNAcentral describes it as "bacterial SSU rRNA". It matches the Rfam family "Bacterial small subunit ribosomal RNA", at positions 82 to 600 of the family's 1533-position model. The record is from RNAcentral.